This 161-nucleotide unclassified non-coding RNA is filed under the name uncultured Eurotiomycetes. RNAcentral's name for it is "sequence contains ITS2". Lineage: Eukaryota; Fungi; Ascomycota; Eurotiomycetes. The record is from RNAcentral.
UCAACCAUCAAGCCUAGCUUGUCGUUGGACCCCUUUGCAGCUGAAAUAUGCGGCAGGUCCGAAAGAUAAUGACGGCGUCGUGUUUGACCCUAGAUGCAACGAGCUUUUAUAGCACGCAUUGAAGUGAUCAGCCGACCCGGUCUUUAACCAUCAUUUUCUAA